This 1086-nucleotide long non-coding RNA is filed under the name Equus caballus (horse). RNAcentral's name for it is "lncRNA (ENSECAG00000054389.1)". The record is from RNAcentral. Lineage: Eukaryota; Metazoa; Chordata; Mammalia; Perissodactyla; Equidae.
CACGCUGAAGUAGAACUUGUGCUCUGCCGUGUAAUACAUUUCCCUAGAGAUGGAAGUCACAAUGGCCUGCCUGCCUUCCUUAAGAGGAGACAGGCCACAGACAGUCUCGCUUCCAGCUGUUUGGCAAGGUCAGAAAGAAGUCGCUUUCCACAGGGCUCUUACAGCCUAUUGGGAACCUCUCAUACAAAAGCCUGAAAUGCAGUUUGUUUCCAGCCUGAUCUCACUGCCUUGGAAUCUCUGCUCUAAGCCAUAUCCCACUUUACUCCAGAGAUGGAAGACACAAAGCGGUGAAUCAUUGCCACCAAAGGAGACAAGCCACAAACGCUCUUCUUUCCAGCUCUUUGGGAAGGUAAGCAACAAAUAACUCUCCACUGUGCUCUUACAGCCUACCGGGAACGUCUCUAAGAAAGAUCUGUGAAAGGCAGAUUCUUCCCAACCGUGAUCUCACUGAAGUAGAACUUCUUCUCUCCCGUGAUCUACAUUGCCCUAGAGGUGCAAGGCACAAAGUCCUGCCUCGUUUCCUUCAAGUGAAGACAGCCCACAUAGCGUCUUGCUUCCAGCACUUUGGGAAUCUAAGAAACAACUCGCUCUCCACAGUUCUCCUGCAGCCUACCGGGAAAAUCUCUUACAAAGGACAGGGAAACACAGUUGCUUUCCAGCCCUGAACUCGCUGAAGUAGAAAUUGUGCUCUGCCGUGUCCUACAUUGCUCUAGAGGUGGAAGUCACAAAGUGCUGAGUCAUUGCCUCCAAAGAAGUCAAGCCACAAACGGUCUUGCUUCCAGCGCUCGGAAGCUAAGAAAUAACUGCCUCUCAAUAGUGCUCUUACAUCUACCGGGAACAUCUCUCACAAAGAUCUGUGAAACGCAGUUUCUUCCCAGCCUUGAUCUUGCUGAAGUAGAACUUCUGCUCUGCCGUGUCCUACGUUGCCCUAGAGUUGCAAGGCAAAAUGUCCUGCAUUGUUUCCUAAAGGCAGGCAAACCAGAAAGCAUCUUGCUUCCAGCUGGUUUGGAAGGUAAGAAGCAACUCACUCUCCACAGUGCUCUUAGAGCCUACCAUGAACAUCUCUUACAAAGGCCUGUGAAACGC